This 375-nucleotide ribosomal RNA is filed under the name Citrobacter sp. FER53. RNAcentral's name for it is "bacterial SSU rRNA". It matches the Rfam family "Bacterial small subunit ribosomal RNA", at positions 969 to 1344 of the family's 1533-position model. Lineage: Bacteria; Pseudomonadati; Pseudomonadota; Gammaproteobacteria; Enterobacterales; Enterobacteriaceae. The record is from RNAcentral.
CCUUACCUGGUCUUGACAUCCACAGAACUUGGCAGAGAUGCCUUGGUGCCUUCGGGAACCGUGAGACAGGUGCUGCAUGGCUGUCGUCAGCUCGUGUUGUGAAAUGUUGGGUUAAGUCCCGCAACGAGCGCAACCCUUAUCCUUUGUUGCCAGCGGUCCGGCCGGGAACUCAAAGGAGACUGCCAGUGAUAAACUGGAGGAAGGUGGGGAUGACGUCAAGUCAUCAUGGCCCUUACGACCAGGGCUACACACGUGCUACAAUGGCAUAUACAAAGAGAAGCGACCUCGCGAGAGCAAGCGGACCUCAUAAAGUAUGUCGUAGUCCGGAUUGGAGUCUGCAACUCGACUCCAUGAAGUCGGAAUCGCUAGUAAUCG